UACACAAAAACAAGAAACGAAGGAAUUUACGAUCACCUGGUAUAUUUACCUAAUCCUUGUCUUUAAAACUGCAUUGAAAACUGCGGAAUACCCAAGGUUAUUUGAAAGAAAGUAACUUUUUCAAGUACAAUUGAAACAAUGGGGGUUCUCAAUGACAAACGAUGUUGUGGCUUGGCCAAACUCUAACAUAGACAAAGAAGAUAGGAUAAAUGUAAGGUAAGUGUAUGGCUUUAAACCACACGCCUAUAAGGGUAGAUUACCUUACUUCCUGGGUUUUUGCUACAAGAGUUCCAUUUUAAUGUAAAUCUCAAUGUUUAUGUUGGUAAACAUUGUAUAUUUAUUUUAACUGCUUAACCCGAUUGUCUGUCUUAUCCAAGGGACGUAAUUGGUUAUUUUCAAAAACUGAAAAUUAACUUUUUCCCCAUUAUUUUAUCAACAUCAUGGAAUUGCUUCUUAUGUUUACUGCACUGUAGUGUUUUCCAAGUGUUUUUGCUUCUUUCUUAGUUUUAAUGAUAAAUUCAUAUAAACCUCUCAAUACUGUAUUCUAAUAAAAAAAAUUACCCCGUUAUUGUCAUAUUUUAAAGAGAUACAAAUGUACAUCAUUGUACGUCUUAUAAACAAUCAAAUAGCACGGACACGCAGGGCAGUACUUGUAAUCAAGUGAACUUAUAGACAGGCAUAAAGAAAACUACGCGACUGGAACAAAUGAGAACCAGUCUAUGAUAGGGGACCAGUCUAGCCUGAGGUCUGUGAGGUUUACACCCAUCUUUGUGCCGACCAUUGGAGCAGAGUGCGGCAAUUGGAAAAUAUCUUAGUUCAAACACAGAGACGACGGGGAAGUGCAAACAGCAAUCUUUGAAAGGAUAUGGCCUUCUGGGGGGUUUUUCGAAGAAUAAUCAUUGCUUGAAAAUAUGCGUAAAAAAAGUAACCCUGGAAAUAGCCCAGCAACAGAAUAUCUAAUGCCGAUAUUGUUACCUCUUGCUUGGUUGCUCCUUGUGGUUUUUGUGGUAUGCUGUGUCAAAAAGAGGUGGUUCUAUAAAUGCUGCAAAUGUAGAAAAGGGUUGACACAAAAGCAAACGGCUAGCAAUGAAAACAGUCAAGUAUCCGAAAAAGAUCUAAGAAAUCUGGCAAAAUAUCCUAUUUAUACUCUUGGUGAAAACGGAGGCGUUCUUGUCGCGUCUCUGGACGAAACAGUUUUAAAUGGAAGAAACUCUAGAGAUGGUUUAUCAAGGAAUGAACAACCUGAUUGUGGUAAAUAUAGAAAAGAACACAUUUCUGUCGUACCAAACACUACAUACACACUCAUGAUGAACGAUCUAUCAUCAAUCACAGAGACUUCAUAUAUUAGCUCUGAGAGACUUUAAUUUCAGAGUCUACAGUUACGUUUGAUAUGAUCGAAAAGACUGCACAGUUAUUUUCUACAGACAUUGUUUGAAAAUGAUACAAAGGUAAAAGACUAUCAUUAUAUGCCAGCCAAAUAUAGUUGUCGAAUACAGGAGCAGUUGAUGAUUCACUUACCUGUCUACUGCUUGAAUAAAAAAGGCGCAUUGAGCUUGGAACAUUUUUAUGGAAAUUACUAGAAGAUGUACAUCUUUAAAAUCUACUUUGUACAAAGUUACGCUGUUAUUUGCUUGAUACAUAUAUACAUAAAAUUUUUCCAACAUGCAGUGGAGUUAAAAAAUAAAAGGGGGCAUUGAAACGUUAAACGCAACUCCAAAAGAAAGGAAUUUACCUAAUACUAUACCAUGAAACUAAUUUUAUAAAAUGAUUGAGAAAGCUUUUCAUAGCAUUGCUUCAAGGAUGCAUACAUGUAUAAGUAGCUUUUCCUUUUGUGUUGUAUUAAGAUAAACAUUGGAUUUUCAGGGUCCGAUCAACAAAAGGUCCCUGAAACCACAGUAUUAAAAUAGAAAAAAAAAUUCAACUGUAUUGUAGUUAUCUUUUAUCAGUUCUGAGAGACCUUUUUGCAAAUAAGUUUAAUAUUCCACCUUAUGGCAUUUUUGCUGCUAUACAACCCCCCAAUAUUUAAUUACUUUAAAAUCUU
Magallana angulata is the source of this 2041-nucleotide long non-coding RNA. RefSeq lists it as uncharacterized. Lineage: Eukaryota; Metazoa; Mollusca; Bivalvia; Ostreida; Ostreidae. The record is from RefSeq and is a predicted model, not a curated record. The transcript is spliced from 6 exons.